GCACUAGUAGCUCAGCGCCAGAGCACCGGCCUUGUAAGCCGACCGCCGGGGGUUAAAAUCCCCCCUAAUGCU
This 72-nucleotide transfer RNA is filed under the name Odontobutis yaluensis. RNAcentral's name for it is "tRNA-Thr". It matches the Rfam family "tRNA". From Rfam's summary of the family: Transfer RNA (tRNA) molecules are approximately 80 nucleotides in length. Lineage: Eukaryota; Metazoa; Chordata; Actinopteri; Gobiiformes; Odontobutidae. The record is from RNAcentral.